AGAGUUUGAUCCUGGCUCAGAACGAACGCUGGCGGCAGGCUUAACACAUGCAAGUCGAACGCCCCGCAAGGGGAGUGGCAGACGAGUGAGUAACGCGUGGGAGCAUACCCUUUCCUGCGGAAUAGCUCCGGGAAACUGGAAUUAAUACCGCAUACGCCCUACGGGGGAAAGAUUUAUCGGGGAAGGAUUGGCCCGCGUUGGAUUAGCUAGUUGGUGGGGUAAAGGCCUACCAAGGCGACGAUCCAUAGCUGGUCUGAGAGGAUGAUCAGCCACAUUGGGACUGAGACACGGCCCAAACUCCUACGGGAGGCAGCAGUGGGGAAUAUUGGACAAUGGGCGCAAGCCUGAUCCAGCCAUGCCGCGUGAGUGAUGAAGGCCUUAGGGUUGUAAAGCUCUUUCACCGGAGAAGAUAAUGACGGUAUCCGGAGAAGAAGCCCCGGCUAACUUCGUGCCAGCAGCCGCGGUAAUACGAAGGGGGCUAGCGUUGUUCGGAAUUACUGGGCGUAAAGCGCACGUAGGCGGAUAUUUAAGUCAGGGGUGAAAUCCCAGAGCUCAACUCUGGAACUGCCUUUGAUACUGGGUAUCUUGAGUAUGGAAGAGGUAAGUGGAAUUCCGAGUGUAGAGGUGAAAUUCGUAGAUAUUCGGAGGAACACCAGUGGCGAAGGCGGCUUACUGGUCCAUUACUGACGCUGAGGUGCGA
RNAcentral lists this ribosomal RNA (700 nucleotides) under uncultured Rhizobiaceae bacterium. Its description in RNAcentral is "bacterial SSU rRNA". It matches the Rfam family "Bacterial small subunit ribosomal RNA", at positions 8 to 756 of the family's 1533-position model. Lineage: Bacteria; Pseudomonadati; Pseudomonadota; Alphaproteobacteria; Hyphomicrobiales; Rhizobiaceae. The record is from RNAcentral.